Long non-coding RNA from Perognathus longimembris pacificus (Pacific pocket mouse), 163 nucleotides. RefSeq lists it as uncharacterized. The transcript has 3 exons. The record is from RefSeq and is a predicted model, not a curated record. Lineage: Eukaryota; Metazoa; Chordata; Mammalia; Rodentia; Heteromyidae.
UCAGGAGGUGGCGGUGGCUCAGAGCAUGCCAGGCCUCGGGACCAAUCUCAACACCAAAGUAAAUCCGCAGGAAGCCAGAGGCUGUUCAGUGCUCCUUUACCCAGCCUCCUCCACGGAUGGGCCAGGAGAUGGUUCAAAGGCGGAACUUGGAACAGGUAGCCCG